This 492-nucleotide ribosomal RNA is filed under the name uncultured bacterium. RNAcentral's name for it is "partial 16S ribosomal RNA". It matches the Rfam family "Bacterial small subunit ribosomal RNA", at positions 30 to 507 of the family's 1533-position model. The record is from RNAcentral.
AUUGAACGCUGGCGGCAUGCUUUACACAUGCAAGUCGAACGGUAACAGGCCUUCGGGUGCUGACGAGUGGCGAACGGGUGAGUAAUGCAUCGGAACGUGCCCAGAGGUGGGGGAUAACGCAGCGAAAGCUGUGCUAAUACCGCAUGUGAUCUGAGGAUGAAAGCGGGGGACCAGGCAGCAAUGUUUGGCCUCGCGCCUUUGGAGCGGCCGAUGUCAGAUUAGGUAGUUGGUGGGGUAAAGGCCUACCAAGCCGACGAUCUGUAGCUGGUCUGAGAGGACGACCAGCCACACUGGGACUGAGACACGGCCCAGACUCCUACGGGAGGCAGUAGUGGGGAAUUUUGGACAAUGGGCGCAAGCCUGAUCCAGCAAUGCCGCGUGCGGGAAGAAGGCCUUCGGGUUGUAAACCGCUUUUGUACGGAACGAAAAGGCUCUGGCUAAUACCUGGGGCUGAUGACGGUACCGUAAGAAUAAGCACCGGCUAACUACGUG